This 1718-nucleotide ribosomal RNA is filed under the name Periclimenes obscurus. Its description in RNAcentral is "SSU rRNA". It matches the Rfam family "Eukaryotic small subunit ribosomal RNA". The record is from RNAcentral. Lineage: Eukaryota; Metazoa; Arthropoda; Malacostraca; Decapoda; Palaemonidae.
UGUCAGUACAGGCCGCUCCAAGGCGAAACCGCGAAUGGCUCAUUAAAUCAGUUAUAAUUCAAUAGACUAAAACCUAUUACUCGGAUAACCCUGGUAAUUCUAGAGCUAAUACGUGAUGAAUACAACUCCGACUGCAAGGGAGGAGUGCUUUUAUUAGUGGAAAACCAAUCGGGCCUCGGUCCGUUCACUUUAACGUGAUGACUCUGAAUAACUUUGUGCAGAGAGCACGGUCUCCGCACCGGCUCCAUAUCUUUCGAGUUUCUGCCUUAUCAUGCUGUGGAUUGUAGGCCAUGCGCCUACAGUGGCUGUUACGGGUGACGGAGAAUCAGGGUUCGAUUCCGGAGAGGGAGCCUGAGAAACGGCUACCACAUCCAAGGAAGGCAGCAGGCACGCAAAUUACCCAAUCCCAGCUCUGGGAGGUAGUGACGAAAAAUAACAAUGCGGGACUCUUCCGAGUCUGCGUAAUUGGAAUGAGCACACUUUAAAUUAAAGUUGUUGCGGUUAAAAAGCUCGUAGUUCGAGCUCAGUUCCGGACUGGCUGGGGAGGUCACCGCCCGGUGCUUCCCCGUCAGGCUCCGAACAGCUUCCCUGAGUGGAAGCCAAGCCGGUUCUGCCGGGGUGCUCUUUACCGAGUGUCCCGCGCGGCCGGCCAGUUCACCUUGAAUAAAUGAGAGUGCUCAAAGCAGGCUACUCUCGAAUAUUAUGCCCGAAUGUUACCUGCAUGGAAUGAUGGAAGAUGAUCUCGGUUCCAUUUUGUUGGUGGUGGGAGCCAGAGGUAAUGAUAAACAGGGACUGUCGGGGGCAUCCGUACUACGACGCGAGAGGUGAAAUUCAGUGACCGUCGUAGGACGAACAACAGCGAAAGCAUUUGCCAAGAAUGUCUUCGUUGAUCAAGAACGAAAGUUAGAGGAUCGAAGGCGAUCAGAUACCGCCCUAGUUCUAACCCUAAACGAUGCUGACUAGCAAUUCGCCGUCGUUAUUCCCAUGACGUGGCGAGACGCUCCCGGGAAACCUCAAGUCUUUGAGUUCCGGGGGUAGUAUGGUUGCAAAACUGAAACUUAAAGGAAUUGACGGAAGGGCACCACCAGGAGUGGAGCCUGCGGCUUAAUUUGACUCAACACGGGGAACCUCACCAGGCCCGGACACCAGAAGGAUUGACAGAUUAAGAGCUCUUUCUCGAUUUGGUGGGUGGUGGUGCAUGGCCGUUCUUAGUUGGUGGAGUGAUUUGUCUGGUUAAUUCCGGUAACGAACGAGACUCUGGCCUACUAAAUAGUCGACGGGCGUUUUGGUGCAUGGGCCCCGUUCGACACAGUCUUCUUAGAGGGAUGAGCAGCGAGUAUAGCUGCAGGAGAUUGAGCAAUAACAGGUCUGUGAUGCCCUUAGAUGUCCUGGGCCGCACGCGCGCUACACUGAAUGGGUUAGCGGGUUGUCCUUNUCCGAGAGGAGCGGGAAAUCGCGUGAAAACCAUUCGUGAUAGGGAUUGGGGCUUGCAAUUCUUCCCCAUCAACGAGGAAUUCCCAGUAAGCGCAAGUCAUCAGCUUGCGUUGAUUAAGUCCCUGCCCUUUGUACACACCGCCCGUCGCUACUACCGAUUGAAUGAUUUAGUGAGGCCUUCGGACUGGCGGUCUUGGACUGGGGCGCCGGCGUUCUCCCAGCAAUGGGGUGCCGGUGACUCGCCUCGACGAGCCGGAAAGAUGUCCAAACUUGAUCAUUUAGAG